AUGGUGCAAUAUCCAAGCUUGUACCGGAUCGUCAGACAUAAAUUUGUCACGAUCAAACAAGUCUUAGGACAGGAAAACCCUGAUAUUUCUUUCCGUAGGGAUCUUUUGGGGACUCGUCUGACAGCAUGGAAUGAAUUACUCACUCGCCUGGAAGACAUUCAACUGUCAGAUGAGCCGGACACUUUUCGAUGGAACUUGCAUCAGAAUGGCAAAUUUUCGGUCAAAUCCAUGUAUGAUGCAAUGGUUCAUUGUGAUGUUCCAGUAGAUAACAUGAAAUUGUGGAAGCUAAAAAUUCCCCUAAGAGUGAAGAUUUUCCUCUGGUUUCUUAACAAAGGAGUCAUCCUAACUAGAGAUAAUCUGGCACGACGAAACUGGCAUGGUUCCAAGACAUGUGUCUUUUGCCAACAUGACGAGUUUAUCAAACACCUAUUUUUUGAGUGCAAGUUCGCUCGGGCAGUUUGGGCUAUGGUCCAAGUAGCUUCGAAUUUAUACCCACCACGUAGUGCACGGAAUAUGUUCGGCAACUGGUUGCGGGGUAUAGAUAAACAAUUUUCUGCACAUAUUCUUGUGGGAGCGGCGGCUUUAUGCUGGGCAAUGUGGCUUACCAGGAAUGAUGUGGUUUUUAUCAAUAAAUGUGUCUCAUCUCCUAUGCAGGUUAUUCAUGUAUGUACACGAUGGCUCCGUACUUGGUCUAUCCUGCAGAAGCCGGAAGACAGGGACAUUUUUAUGAUGGCGUCUACACGGCUGGAGCGUACGGCCAGGGAGGUUUUCUACCCCCAUGGAUGGCGGUGUGAUUUACGGAUAGGAUCUACCGCUCCUUAG
Molecule: ribosomal RNA, 822 nt
Filed under: Triticum aestivum (bread wheat)
Lineage: Eukaryota; Viridiplantae; Streptophyta; Magnoliopsida; Poales; Poaceae
Description: partial small subunit ribosomal RNA
Source: RNAcentral